RNAcentral lists this ribosomal RNA (347 nucleotides) under uncultured bacterium. RNAcentral's name for it is "bacterial SSU rRNA". It matches the Rfam family "Bacterial small subunit ribosomal RNA", at positions 28 to 363 of the family's 1533-position model. The record is from RNAcentral.
GAUGAACGCUAGCUACAGGCUUAACACAUGCAAGUCGAGGGGAAACGACAUCGAAAGCUUGCUUUUGGUGGGCGUCGACCGGCGCACGGGUGAGUAACGCGUAUCCAACCUGCCCACCACUUGGGAAUAACCUUGCGAAAGUAAGACUAAUACCCAAUGAUAUCCCAUGAAGGCAUCCGAAUGGGAUUAAAGAUUUAUCGGUGAUGGAUGGGGAUGCGUCUGAUUAGCUUGUUGGCGGGGUAACGGCCCACCAAGGCAACGAUCAGUAGGGGUUCUGAGAGGAAGGUCCCCCACAUUGGAACUGAGACACGGUCCAAAACUCCUACGGGAGGCAGCAGUGAGGAAUA